CCUACGGGUGGCAGCAGUGAGGAAUAUUGGUCAAUGGGCGGAAGCCUGAACCAGCCAAGUAGCGUGCAGGAUGACGGCCCUACGGGUUGUAAACUGCUUUUAUACGGGAAUAACGCGCCUUACGUGUAGGGCUUUGCAUGUACCGUAUGAAUAAGGACCGGCUAAUUCCGUGCCAGCAGCCGCGGUAAUACGGAAGGUCCGGGCGUUAUCCGGAUUUAUUGGGUUUAAAGGGAGCGUAGGCCGCAUGUCAAGCGUGCUGUGAAAUGUCCGGGCUCAACCCGGGCCUUGCAGCGCGAACUGGCGUGCUUGAGUCCGCGGAAAGCAGGCGGAAUUCGUCGUGUAGCGGUGAAAUGCUUAGAUAUCACACAGAACACCGAUUGCGAAGGCAUCUCACGAAUCCGCGAUUGACGCUGAUGCACGAAAGCGUGGGUAUCAAACAGGAUUAGAUACCCUAGUAGUC
Molecule: ribosomal RNA, 460 nt
Filed under: uncultured bacterium
Lineage: Bacteria
Description: partial 16S ribosomal RNA
Rfam family: Bacterial small subunit ribosomal RNA
Source: RNAcentral